AGAGCUAUAACACUCACUGUGAAGGUCUGCAGCUUUGCUCCUGAGCUAGCUAGACCACGAACCCACCAGCAGGAAAAAACUCCGAACACAUUUGAGCAUCAGAAGGAACAAACUCUGGACACGCCGCCUUUAAGAACUGUGAUAUUCACUGCGACAGUCCGCGGCUUCAUUCUUGAAGUCAGACCAAGAACCCACCAAUUCCGGACAUAGGAAUACUAGCAGGGACUUUCUGGACAUUCGGCUCGGAGUUGGUUAGUUGUUCAGGAUGGUUCAAAGGUUUUGGCAGAGUUCAAAGACUGGGAAGCAAAGUUCAGCCAUGUUGGGCCUUUGGGCUCAUAGAUGAGCAAGGGUACCCCAAUAUGAGGGCUCAGCAAAUUCUGGAACUUAUCAGUUCUGAAGACCUUUAGAGGAGAAGGAGACAAGUAAAAGGGUUGGCCUUGCGUAUUGGCAAUGAAACAGGCUAUUUUUGACAUUGAGUUGUCCAGCAUUCUCUAAGGUAUGUAGUCCUGGAGGGCGCUGCUUAAUGAACCAGAAGUCCUGCCUCUUAAGUACCUCACCAGCUCAAAUGUGUGCAUGUCACCUUGGCGUGAAUCGGAGCAGGCGCUGGUGGAUACCGUUUGGAGGCAUGCCAGCAAGGAGCUCCUUGUGUAGCCUGCCUCUGGAGCCUCAAGUUCAACUUCCAUAGGGCCAAAAGGGGAGUCGGGCUGGGCAGAAGCUCCUGAGAACCAAAGCAAAUGGUCUGAGAGUCUGAGAGUGUAGUGGAGGUAACGUGUUCGUGUCCUCUCUGGCUGCAUCACCCCAAGUCCUUGCAGACUCAAGUAGCCUAUUUGCAAGUUUAAAUAGUUUGAGUCCUGGCCGGUAACAAGAAUACUCUACAGUGGCCCAGAGUCAGGGAUAUAGAGUGGCGACUACUUGGCAGAACUGGAGCUUGCUCAGAUGAAAAGAUAAAUUGUACUGGUUAAACGAAGAUCAAGUGCAGGGUCUGGACUUUGUUUCUAUCUUUCAUGUGGACUCUAUAAGCACCUACACACAGCAUUCUAGAAACACUGCUCCCAUCCCUCCUGUCUCAUGUCAUCCUCCCAAUUCCGGGAGUUGGGGGGCAUACUCUUUCCCUGUGUCAUGUGAGAAAUUCCUUUCUCAUGGGAAGCAGGUGGCAUUCCUGGACUCUCCUUGGCCUGGCCGUUGGUAAGCACAGGAAUUCAAGGUGUCUGAAUCUCUUGUCAAAGGUGGGCUGUAAGGCUCCAGAAGAGGAGGACAGAAAGUGCCUGCAGAGCUCCUGCCUGAGGCCUUUGGAUGGGCCCUGCUGGCUUGCCGUGUGUGUGUGUGUGUGUGUGUGUGUGUGUGUGUGUGUGUGGUGUCGUGCUUAUUUGCCCCAAAUGAGGCAAGAGAGCAGUGAUCAGGUGUCUCCCCAGCAUCUAGUUUCAUGAAGACAAUAGAAGUGGGUCGGAUCAGGCCUGCUGCCAUGCUUGGCUUGCCCAUGUCUCCUAGGAUUGGCUGCCUGGUGGCCAUCCCUUUGCCAUCCCCUUGACUGCCCUGUGAAUGAUGUCCACUCUGAGACCCCAGGCCACUCAGAAAAACUGAAGAUUCUCAAGUUCAGGUGCAGUUAGGGGGCAGGUCCUGGUGGUGGGGGAGCUUUGAUGUUCUGCAGUUGGAGGAUCCUCUUUCAGAAUAGUAAUGCAAUUUGUGAAUUAAUAAAAUUAGGUAUGCAAGAGGAUAUGUAGAAAAGAAAAAUCACAAGCUACACAAUUUUUAAGUUGACAAAACUACGAACAUCACAAAAUAAUAUGAUAUUUUAAAUUAAU
Molecule: long non-coding RNA, 1802 nt
Filed under: Homo sapiens (human)
Lineage: Eukaryota; Metazoa; Chordata; Mammalia; Primates; Hominidae
Description: non-protein coding LINC01582:3
Source: RNAcentral